This 465-nucleotide ribosomal RNA is filed under the name uncultured bacterium. Its description in RNAcentral is "partial 16S ribosomal RNA". It matches the Rfam family "Bacterial small subunit ribosomal RNA", at positions 28 to 507 of the family's 1533-position model. The record is from RNAcentral.
GACGAACGCUGGCGGCGUGCUUAACACAUGCCAGUCGAACGGAAAGGCCCCUUUGGGGGUACUCGAGUGGCGAACGGGUGAGUAACACGUGCGUAACCUGCCCUUGACUUCGGGAUAACUUCAGGAAACUGGGGCUAAUACCGGUUAGGAAUCCUUUCUGCACGGUGGGGGUUGGAAAGCUUCGGCGGUUUUGGAUGGACUCGCGGCUUAUCAGCUUGUUGGUGGGGUAGUGGCUUACCAAGGCUUUGACGGGUAGCCGGCCUGAGUGGGCGACCGGCCACAUUGGGACUGAGAUACGGCCCAGACGCCGACGGGAGGCAGAAGUGGGGAAUAUUGCACAAUGGGCGGAAGCCUGAUGCAGCAACGCCGCGUGCGGGAUGACGGCCUUAGGGUUGUAAAACGCUUUCAGCAGGGGCGAAGCUUGUGGUGACGGUACCUGCAGAAGAAGCACCGGCUAACUACGUG